This 387-nucleotide unclassified non-coding RNA is filed under the name uncultured Verrucomicrobiae bacterium. Its description in RNAcentral is "contains 16S-23S intergenic spacer region". Lineage: Bacteria; Pseudomonadati; Verrucomicrobiota; Verrucomicrobiia. The record is from RNAcentral.
UCCUCGUUUAAGCGAGGCAGUCUGUCCAGAGUGCUCCCAGCUCUCGCCGGGGUGGCAACAGGACACAAGGGUUGCGCUCGUUGCGGGACUUAACCCAACAUCUCACGACACGAGCUGACGACAGCCAUGCAGCACCUGUGCAAGCUGGCAUUGCUGCCUCGUCGGACUUUCAUCCUUCUACUACUUGCAUGUCAAGGCCAGGUAAGGUUCUUCGCGUUGCAUCGAAUUAAGCCACAUACUCCACCGCUUGUGCAGGCCCCCGUCAAUUUCUUUGAGUUUUAAUCUUGCGACCGUACUUCCCAGGCGGCAUAUUUAUCGCGUUAGCUUCGCCACAAAAGGGGUCGAUUCCUUUUACAGCAAAUAUGCACCGUUUACAGCUAGGACUAC